Anser brachyrhynchus (Pink-footed goose) is the source of this 1031-nucleotide long non-coding RNA. The record is from Ensembl. NCBI's taxonomy places the organism in Eukaryota, Metazoa, Chordata, Aves, Anseriformes, Anatidae.
CUCUACAGAAGUCUUUUUCCUACUUUUUUCCAUCAUUCACUCACUUUUAAGAGGUUGAUGCCUUCUGUGUCUCUUGGAUUCCCCCAUUUCCUAGUUUAAGUAUUUCCCUAUGCCCUCACAUGAGUCCAUUUGGAUUAAACAUAACCCAUGUUUCCUGUACAGGUUCUUCAAAUCCCAGAAAGUUCCCCAGAUUUUUAAGCAUUUUUAAGUCCCUCUUCCCAAGGCCACCACCUCAUCCCUAACGAGACUCUAGAUCUCCAUGUGCCUUUGAGGAUUCAUGUUUAACAGUUCUGUGGAGAAUGCUAGGACGGAGGUAGUAGCACCUUGAAUACAGCUAUCAGAACUGCUUUUCAGCUAUUGAUACCAAUGGACCUAAAACGCUGGAUCUUGUGUUGGAUAUCUGUACAAUUUACCUUCUGAGGUCUAAGAUUCCUCUAUUUCCGUCCAAUAGAAAGUGAGUUCCAUAGUAAGAGAGGACCAUGUGGUCUUCUUACGUCACAAACACAGAUGUCCCUGUACCUUACAACUGAAUCUCAUCUUCCUGCUGCUUCCUGUCCCUGAAGAUCUGCUGUACCACAGCACCAACAUCCUAAGUGCUGAGGGAACCAGAUGGACCUGACUACAGCAGCCUUCCACUGAUCAUCAUCUCUCCCAAACACUUUUCUGCACAUAUUUACACAUGACCUCAUGAAGUGACAAAGAUGUCUUCCUCUAGAAGAUGUCAUCCUCCGCAAAAUGGUGUCAGCUGUUGUCCUAGCACCAGUAUGAUACUGGCCAUAUUCUGUAAAUCUUAUGAAGACCUUCAGAAGUUCUUUGAUGCACUACAGUCACUGUCCUUGUUGGUCUAAUAUGCAGGUAUUUCUCAGUUACAGUGCAUUAAACAGCUAGCUAAACGAGUUCUGCUAGCAAGUACAGCCAGCUUGCUGCCCAGAAUCCCCCACCCCACUGCAGAAUGCACCCGCACUGAUGCUGAUCACCUUGGUGAGAUGUUUAAAUCAUUAUAAUAAGCAAUGGGAUGUCUAAAUCAUUAU